Molecule: ribosomal RNA, 871 nt
Filed under: uncultured archaeon
Lineage: Archaea
Description: bacterial SSU rRNA
Rfam family: Archaeal small subunit ribosomal RNA
Source: RNAcentral
CUCCGGUUGAUCCCGCCCGGACCUGACUGCUAUCGGAUUGGUACUAAGCCAUGCGAGUCGUUGUAGCAAUACAAGGCGGACGGCUCAGUAACACGUAGUCAACCUAACCUAUGGACGUGGAUAACCUCGGGAAACUGAGAAUAAACCGCGAUAGAUCAUUAUGCCUGGAAUGGCUUAUGGUUCAAACAAUUUAUUGCCGUAGGAUGGGACUGCGGCCUAUCAGCUUGUUGGUGAGGUAAUGGCCCACCAAGGCUAUAACAGGUACGGGCUCUGAGAGGAGAAGCCCGGAGAUGGGUACUGAGACACGGACCCAGGCCCUAUGGGGCGCAGCAGGCGAGAAACCUUAGCAAUGUGCGAAAGCACGACUAGGUUAAUCCGAGUGAUUUCUGUUGAAGAAAUCUUUUGUCAGUCGUAAAACCACAGACGAAUAAGGGGUGGGCAAGUCUGGUGUCAGCCGCCGCGGUAAUACCAGCACCUCGAGUGGUCAGGAGGUUUAUUGGGCCUAAAGCAUCCGUAGCCGGCUACGCAAGUCUCCGGUUAAAUCCAGCUGCUCAACAGAUGGGCUGCCGGAGAUACUACAUAGCUAGGGAGCGGGAGAGGUAGACGGUAUUCUGUGGGUAGGGGUAAAAUCCACUGAUCCAUAGAGGACCACCAGUGGCGAAGGCGGUCUACCAGAACGCGUUCGACGGUGAGGGAUGAAAGCUGGGGGAGCAAACCGGAUUAGAUACCCGGGUAGUCCCAGCUGUAAACGAUGCAGACUCGGUGAUGGGUUGGCCUCGCGCCUGCCCAGUGCCGCAGGGAAGCCGUUAAGUCUGCCGCCUGGGGAGUACGGUCGCAAGACUGAAACUUAAAGGAAUUGGCGGGGGGAGCC